Molecule: ribosomal RNA, 460 nt
Filed under: uncultured bacterium
Lineage: Bacteria
Description: partial 16S ribosomal RNA
Rfam family: Bacterial small subunit ribosomal RNA
Source: RNAcentral
CCUACGGGUGGCAGCAGUGAGGAAUAUUGGUCAAUGGACGAGAGUCUGAACCAGCCAAGUAGCGUGAAGGAUGACUGCCCUAUGGGUUGUAAACUUCUUUUAUAUGGGUAUAAAAUGUUCCACGUGUGGGAUUUUGUAUGUACCAUAUGAAUAAGGAUCGGCUAACUCCGUGCCAGCAGCCGCGGUAAUACGGAGGAUCCGAGCGUUAUCCGGAUUUAUUGGGUUUAAAGGGAGCGUAGGUGGAUUGUUAAGUCAGUUGUGAAAGUUUGCGGCUCAACCGUAAAAUUGCAGUUGAAACUGGCAGUCUUGAGUACAGUAGAGGUGGGCGGAAUUCGUGGUGUAGCGGUGAAAUGCUUAGAUAUCACGAAGAACUCCGAUUGCGAAGGCAGUUCACUGGACUGCAACUGACACUGAGGCUCGAGAGUGUGGGUAUCAAACAGGAUUAGAUACCCUUGUAGUC